GCUAACGACGGCGCGAGAGCGCGUGUAAUGCGUGGGGGUCGAGCGGUUAUUGGGAAUAGCUGGGCUAAAGGGGGCGGCGGUCGUUGUGUAAAGCGGAAGUGAAAGCCCCGGGCUUAAACUGGGAACUGGCAUUGUGAAUGCACGGGUGUAGGGCGGCUGGGGGGGAUGAAAUUCCGAGGGUAGCAGUGAAAUGCGUAGUGAUGCGGGGGAACAACGAUGGCGAAGGCAAUCCCCUGGGACUGCACUGACGCUCAUGCACGAAAGCGUGGGGAGCAAACAGGAUUAGAUACCCUGGUAGUC
This 300-nucleotide ribosomal RNA is filed under the name uncultured Thermococcus sp. RNAcentral's name for it is "bacterial SSU rRNA". It matches the Rfam family "Bacterial small subunit ribosomal RNA", at positions 496 to 795 of the family's 1533-position model. The record is from RNAcentral. Lineage: Archaea; Methanobacteriati; Methanobacteriota; Thermococci; Thermococcales; Thermococcaceae.